CCUACGGGAGGCUGCAGUGGGGAAUAUUGGACAAUGGGCGAAAGCCUGAUCCAGCCAUGCCGCGUGUGUGAAGAAGGCCUUUGGGUUGUAAAGCACUUUCAGUGGGGAAGAAAGCCUUGGGGCUAAUACCCUCGAGGAAGGACAUCACCCACAGAAGAAGCACCGGCUAACUCCGUGCCAGCAGCCGCGGUAAUACGGAGGGUGCGAGCGUUAAUCGGAAUUACUGGGCGUAAAGCGCGCGUAGGCGGUCUGAUAAGCCGGUUGUGAAAGCCCCGGGCUCAACCUGGGAACGGCAUCCAGAACUGUCAGGCUAGAGUGCAGGAGAGGAAGGUAGAAUUCCCGGUGUAGCGGUGAAAUGCGUAGAGAUCGGGAGGAAUACCAGUGGCGAAGGCGGCCUUCUGGACUGACACUGACGCUGAGGUGCGAAAGCGUGGGUAGCAAACAGGAUUAGAUACCCUAGUAGUC
This 465-nucleotide ribosomal RNA is filed under the name Vreelandella stevensii. RNAcentral describes it as "partial 16S ribosomal RNA". It matches the Rfam family "Bacterial small subunit ribosomal RNA", at positions 338 to 795 of the family's 1533-position model. The record is from RNAcentral. Lineage: Bacteria; Pseudomonadati; Pseudomonadota; Gammaproteobacteria; Oceanospirillales; Halomonadaceae.